AACGAACGCUGGCGGCAGGCGUAACACAUGCAAGUCGAACGCCCCGCAAGGGGAGUGGCAGACGGGUGAGUAACGCGUGGGAAUCUACCGUGCCCUGCGGAAUAGCUCCGGGAAACUGGAAUUAAUACCGCAUACGCCCUACGGGGGAAAGAUUUAUCGGGGUAUGAUGAGCCCGCGUUGGAUUAGCUAGUGGGUGGGGUAAAGGCGUACCAAGGCGACGAUCCAUAGCUGGUCUGAGAGGAUGAUCAGCCACAUUGGGACUGAGACACGGCCCAAACUCCUACGGGAGGCAGCAGUGGGGAAUAUUGGACAAUGGGCGAAAGCCUGAUCCAGCCAUGCCGCGUGAGUGAUGAAGGCCUUAGGGUUGUAAAGCUCUUUCACCGAUGAAGAUAAUGACGGUAGUCGGAGAAGAAGCCCCGGCUAACUUCGUGCCAGCCGCCGCAGUAA
RNAcentral lists this ribosomal RNA (447 nucleotides) under uncultured bacterium. RNAcentral's name for it is "partial 16S ribosomal RNA". It matches the Rfam family "Bacterial small subunit ribosomal RNA", at positions 29 to 523 of the family's 1533-position model. The record is from RNAcentral.